Molecule: long non-coding RNA, 220 nt
Filed under: Elaeis guineensis (African oil palm)
Lineage: Eukaryota; Viridiplantae; Streptophyta; Magnoliopsida; Arecales; Arecaceae
Description: long non-coding RNA (EGUI_LNC028612)
Source: RNAcentral
CACCAUACAAACGAUCAAAGUAAUAGCAAAGAUCAUUUAUCUAAAAUCUUACCUUAUAAUCAGAUUCCGUUUGGCCUUUUUAUCACUCAUUUUUUAUUUAACGGUUCAAAUCAUUUUGUGCUAAGUUGACCAUGAUAAUGAUGUUUGAUUGAAGUAAAAUUUUGAUAGUAUAAUAUAAAUAUCAUCGAGAUCAUUAUUGUAAGUUUUUGGAUCCAUCAGU